This 228-nucleotide ribosomal RNA is filed under the name uncultured bacterium. RNAcentral describes it as "partial 16S ribosomal RNA". It matches the Rfam family "Bacterial small subunit ribosomal RNA", at positions 568 to 796 of the family's 1533-position model. The record is from RNAcentral.
UCCGUAGGUGGAUAAUUAAGUCAGAGGUGAAAUCCUGCAGCUCAACUGUAGAAUUGCCUUUGAUACUGGUUAUCUUGAGUCAUUAUGAAGUGGUUAGAAUGUGUAGUGUAGCGGUGAAAUGCAUAGAUAUUACACAGAAUACCGAUUGCGAAGGCAGAUCACUAAUAAUGUACUGACACUGAGGGACGAAAGCGUGGGGAGCGAACAGGAUAGAUACCCUGGUAGUCC